GGGGGUGCUCAUACCGGAGAGGCCACACCCGUUCCCAUUCCGAAUACGGUCGUUAAGCUCUCCAGGGCCCAUGGUACUGCAUUCGCGAGGAUGUGGGAGAGUAGGUCAGUGCCCCCU
This 117-nucleotide ribosomal RNA is filed under the name Candidatus Omnitrophota bacterium. Lineage: Bacteria; Pseudomonadati; Candidatus Omnitrophota. The record is from RNAcentral.